Molecule: unclassified non-coding RNA, 396 nt
Filed under: Hevea brasiliensis (rubber tree)
Lineage: Eukaryota; Viridiplantae; Streptophyta; Magnoliopsida; Malpighiales; Euphorbiaceae
Source: RNAcentral
GUUCGAUCAAAUUAUUGAAUGACAACGUAUCUGGGCUGCACCUAUAAUCACCCAUCUUCUCGAAUACUUCCAUGGCAUCUUUGAACCUCCCUUCAAUGCAGUACCCAUCAACCAUCACAUUAAAGCUUCCCAAGUUCACUGCCGGACGCCUGGGUGGACUAUGCUCCUUCGUCAUUCUAUCAAACAACAUCAAGGCCUCACCAAACUUCCCAUUCCUGCAUAAUGCAUCAAGCACAGAAUUGUAUGCAAUGGCGCUCAUCUUCACCACUGAAUUUUCACCCACAGUCUCCUCAUAACACCUCAUUGCUUCCUCUUCCAUUCCUUUCAUAAAAUACCCUUUCAUCAAGCUCCCAUAAACAACUCCAUCUUCCACAGUCCCUCCCAACUUCUCUUUCA